RNAcentral lists this long non-coding RNA (405 nucleotides) under Ananas comosus (pineapple). Its description in RNAcentral is "long non-coding RNA (ACOM_LNC015575)". The record is from RNAcentral. Lineage: Eukaryota; Viridiplantae; Streptophyta; Magnoliopsida; Poales; Bromeliaceae.
UUUAAAGUUUAGAAUAAAAAAGAUUAGAUAGUUAAUUCAAAAUGAUCUAUAGUCCAGGCAAGGUCUAUUGGUCUGGCCAUUUCCAAUUGCAUGGAAAUACAAAUUCAGUGUUUGGUUUAAUGUCUUUAACUUUAGCUACUGCAUUAGGAACUAUAAGGGGCCGUUUGGUUGGAUGUAGUUGCAGAAACAGUGUAGUUGAAAAUACAUGCAGUUGCAAAUGCUGCAGUUAUAACUACACCUAAUCUGUUUGGUUUUACGCAGUUGCAACUGCUGCAGUUACAUUUCUUCUGUUUGGUAAUAUGAAGCUGAUAGUUGUAUUUAUGAAUUUUGUCACCUCUUCAGAUAGAGUGGUGAGGUUACCUUCACUAAACAUAAAAUAAUUGUAUAAAUUUAUUAAUUAUUUAA